CUAACAGCCCUGGAGACAGAGCUCCUCUCUUUAUCCACAGAACAGGAACAACAUGGAUAGACCAGCAGCACUGGCUUCCCCAAAACGUUGGUCUGCCAAUGUGUCACCCCAGAGGGACCAGGACUACAGGUGAGAGGGGAAGGCAAUCUCCAUGACUCAUUCAGUCCCUGACCUCA
This 176-nucleotide small RNA is filed under the name Chrysemys picta bellii (western painted turtle). RNAcentral describes it as "TUC338 (ENSCPBG00000021512.1)". The record is from RNAcentral. Lineage: Eukaryota; Metazoa; Chordata; Testudines; Emydidae.